GAUGAACGCUAGCGGCAGGCUUAAUACAUGCAAGUCGAGGGGCAGCACAGAUAGCAAUAUUGGGUGGCGACCGGCAAACGGGUGCGGAACACGUACACAACCUUCCUUUUAGUGUGGGAUAGCCCAGAGAAAUUUGGAUUAAUACCACAUAGUAUAUUGGAGUGGCAUCACUUUGGUAUUAAAGAUUUAUCGCUAAAAGAUGGGUGUGCGUAUGAUUAGGUAGUUGGUAGAGGUAACGGCUCACCAAGCCUUCGAUCAUUAACUGGUGUGAGAGCACGACCAGUCACACGGGCACUGAGACACGGGCCCGGCUCCUACGGGAGGCAGCAGUAAGGAAUAUUGGUCAAUGGACGGAAGUCUGAACCAGCCAUGCCGCGUGAAGGAUGACGGCCCUCUGGGUUGUAAACUUCUUUUAUGUGGGACGAAAAAGGGCCAUUUUUGGUCAACUGACGGUACCAUAGGAAUAAGCACCGGCUAACUCCGUGCCAGCCGCCGCUGUAA
RNAcentral lists this ribosomal RNA (501 nucleotides) under uncultured bacterium. RNAcentral describes it as "partial 16S ribosomal RNA". It matches the Rfam family "Bacterial small subunit ribosomal RNA", at positions 28 to 523 of the family's 1533-position model. The record is from RNAcentral.